Molecule: ribosomal RNA, 482 nt
Filed under: uncultured bacterium
Lineage: Bacteria
Description: bacterial SSU rRNA
Rfam family: Bacterial small subunit ribosomal RNA
Source: RNAcentral
CUACGUGCCAGCAGCCGCGGUAAUACGGAAGGUCCAGGCGUUAUCCGGAUUUAUUGGGUUUAAAGGGAGCGUAGGCGGAUUAUUAAGUCAGUGGUGAAAGACGGUGGCUCAACCAUCGUUAGCCAUUGAAACUGGUAGUCUUGAGUGCAGACAGGGAUGCUGGAACUCGUGGUGUAGCGGUGAAAUGCUUAGAUAUCACGAUGAACUCCGAUCGCGAAGGCAGGUGUCCGGGCUGCAACUGACGCUGAGGCUCGAAAGUGUGGGUAUCAAACAGGAUUAGAUACCCUGGUAGUCCACACAGUAAACGAUGUAUACUCGCGGUUUGCGAUAGAGUGUAAGCCGCCAAGCGAAAGCAUUAAGUAUACCACCUGGGGAGUACGCCGGCAACGGUGAAACUCAAAGGAAUUGACGGGGGCCCGCACAAGCGGAGGAACAUGUGGUUUAAUUCGAUGAUACGCGAGGAACCUUACCCGGGCUUGAAC